RNAcentral lists this ribosomal RNA (429 nucleotides) under Pseudomonadota bacterium. RNAcentral describes it as "Proteobacteria bacterium partial 16S ribosomal RNA". It matches the Rfam family "Bacterial small subunit ribosomal RNA", at positions 355 to 776 of the family's 1533-position model. Lineage: Bacteria; Pseudomonadati; Pseudomonadota. The record is from RNAcentral.
UGGGGAAUAUUGGACAAUGGGCGAAAGCCUGAUCCAGCCAAGCCGCGUGUGUGAAGAAGGUCUUCGGAUUGUAAAGCACUUUAAGUUGGGAGGAAGGGCAGUAAGCGAAUACCUUGCUGUUUUGACGUUACCGACAGAAUAAGCACCGGCUAACUCUGUGCCAGCAGCCGCGGUAAUACAGAGGGUGCAAGCGUUAAUCGGAAUUACUGGGCGUAAAGCGCGCGUAGGUGGUUCGUUAAGUUGAAUGUGAAAGCCCCGGGCUCAACCUGGGAACUGCAUCCAAAACUGGCGAGCUGGAGUAGGGCAGAGGGUGGUGGAAUUUCCUGUGUAGCGGUGAAAUGCGUAGAUAUAGGAAGGAACACCAGUGGCGAAGGCGACCACCUGGGCUCAUACUGACACUGAGGUGCGAAAGCGUGGGGAGCAAACAGG